CUUCCUCCCAGUCCCGGCGUGUUCAACAUAACCAGAUGGCUGCCACUCCACUCAGCCACCCCCACCUCACCUAGCAGUGACAUGUCCCCGAGGAGCAUUCCAGUCAAUAACUCAGAGAAAACAAGCUCAUAUUACCAAGUGUGAAAUUACAGCAAGCCUUACAGGCUGAGAACUGGAAAACAGCCUUCCUAUCAUGGUGAAUUAUGCAACCAGUGCUGGAGAGUAACUCUAAAAUAUAGCAUCUUUCUACUUACCUUACAAAAGCUCAAAGAAGGAGAUCUACAAGAUAAUGAAAACAAGGCUCAAAAUAAAAACAAGACAUCUUUACGAAAUUACACAAAGUGUAUGUGUUUGAA
Molecule: non-coding RNA, 356 nt
Organism: Macaca mulatta (Rhesus monkey)
Lineage: Eukaryota; Metazoa; Chordata; Mammalia; Primates; Cercopithecidae
Source: RefSeq, a predicted model, not a curated record